GCUCAGUCGUGUCCGACUCUUAGCGACCCCAUGGACUGCAGCCUACCAGGUUCCUCCGUCCAUGGGAUUUUCCAGGCAAGACUACUGGAGUGGGGUGCCAUUGCCUUCUCCUCCCUUAAUUCCCCACCAGCUUCUUGAGAUAAGGUCUCUCAUCACCAUCUGAGAGAAGAGAGCACUGGAGCUUGGGGAUACAAAGAAAGUUGUCAAACAAAUAAGAGGAGCCUGAAUUUGAACCUUGCGUUUUCUGAUUCCAAAGCCAGCCUGGUCCCACCACCACAUUCCAUGGAUGAGGAAACCAGAGCAGUGGAAUGUGAUCUCAUGGCAGUAACAGAGUUGGGUCUCAUCAGCCUUAUCCGUCUUCUUCUCAGCACACCUGGCAGACCUCAUCUCUUAGGGUUGGGAUUCUCCUCUGUUCCAUCAGAUGAAAAGUAGUCAGCAUUGUGGAUGACGUCCCCUUCCCCCACCCAUGACUCUGUAGUCAUGAGAACUUUUGGUUGCAAUUCACCCCAGCCAUUGAUGUCUACCUCCUGGUCCUUGUUCAGAAUCCACCAUGCCCAUCAUCCAGGCUCUGACAAAAGUUGUUCAUAAGUGAUACCAUUUGAUUCUUUGAUUUUUCCCUAACUUGCAAGAAGAUAGGAGCCCAGGUAAAUGAUAAAUAGGCAUCCGCUUCGAGGAUACUAGAAACAGGGCCCUGGGGCAUCCUGAGUGCCACAUGUGGAGGCUCCCUAUGUCGCUACAAAGGCCAGAACCUACAGUUGCCCGCACCCCUACCCCCUAACCCCAGUGUCCCUGCAGCCUCCAUCCUGUUUCUUACACUCUGUACUCCAGCGCCUUUGGAAAUCCAUUUGCUUCAGUGCUGUCACUGAUGUUCAUUUUAAGUUGUGUGUAGAAAUAUAUCAUGGAUGCAAACCCUGCCAUAGGGAUUAGUUCUAAAUCUUUGUAGAAAACAGAGCAUCAGGGGCAUAGGAGGGAGGAAUAACUGUAAGAUGCCUGCUCUACAUAGUUAUUGCAUUUAAUCCUCACAACUCUAGGAGGUGGGUGUUCCUCCCAUUUUCCAGAGAAGAUUGGGAGAUUCGCACUGGGGUAGGGAGGUUUUCUCAUCAAGGUUUCCCAGCUAGCGAGCAGUAAAGCCAGGAUUAUAAUUCAGAUUUCUCUCCAGAACCAAUACUCUUUGCUCUUUACUGUGUAUCAGCUAGAGCAUCUUGCAGGGAGGGGAUAAUAUGACUCCUGAACUAGAAGGAUUUCUGUGCGUGGCAUGUGGAGCCAUAGAAUGGGGUCUGAAUCCUGGUCCAGCAGAAUCCUAUUUGUGUGUUCUCUCUGUGCUCUCUCUUCUUUUCCAAAAUCUCUCAAUAAUAGUUGAAACACAUUAGGUGACCUAUUUUUCUGAUCUCUAAUAAGCCCUACCAUUAUUAAUUCCUUGACUCAAUCAAGGACCUUAUAAUGGUACCCACAGGAGAAGGUGGAGCCAGAGGGAGAGAGUGGCUGUCAGGAACUCUACUCACCUGGGCCAGCCUGGCAACAAGUGUGCCGUGUUAGGAAUCAGGCAAGGUUGUUAGAGAAGGCCCAGCGCGCAUGCGCCUGAGAAGCCGGAAGACGCUAUAGCCGCCAUGAUGCUUCUUGGAGCAGUUCUGCUGUGUGAGUGAGAAGUUAGUCUCCGGUGGUUAGCUGGGGAGCCGGAAGUGAUUUUCUGCAGAUUUGGUUUGAGAUCUGACUCCUCAAGGCCUGGAAGAGACAUUUGUUCAGAUGCAAACAUUGCAGUAAAGGAUCCCAAGUUCCAGCCUGUCUCAACUAUACCCGAAUAACAUCCAACAGAAAGGUUUUGAAGGCCUUUGGGAAUAUUAGAGCCUAUGUCUCCCACCCAUAUUGGUUGUGUAAUUGGCCUCUCUCUCUUUAGAGACACUAAGCCCUCUCAUUAAAUAGAAAAUAAAAAUAUAUUAAAAAAAAAA
Long non-coding RNA from Bubalus bubalis (water buffalo), 1946 nucleotides. RefSeq lists it as uncharacterized. The transcript has 2 exons. NCBI's taxonomy places the organism in Eukaryota, Metazoa, Chordata, Mammalia, Artiodactyla, Bovidae. The record is from RefSeq and is a predicted model, not a curated record.